This 392-nucleotide ribosomal RNA is filed under the name uncultured bacterium. RNAcentral describes it as "partial 16S ribosomal RNA". It matches the Rfam family "Bacterial small subunit ribosomal RNA", at positions 523 to 918 of the family's 1533-position model. The record is from RNAcentral.
AUACGGAAGGUCCGGGCGUUAUCCGGAUUUAUUGGGUUUAAAGGGAGCGUAGGCGGGAGAUUAAGCGUGCUGUGAAAUCCGGCGGCUCAACCGUCGCGAGCAGCGCGAACUGGUUUCCUUGAGUGCGCGGGAGGCAGGCGGAAUUCGGGGGGUAGCGGGGGAAUGCUUAGAUAUCACGAAGAACCCCGAUUGCGAAGGCAGCCUGCCGUAGCGUUACUGACGCUGAAGCUCGAAGGUGCGGGUAUCGAACAGGAUUAGAUACCCUGGUAGUCCGCACGGUAAACGAUGGAUGCCCGCUGUCCGCGCCUAGUCGUGGGUGGCCAAGCGAAAGCGUUAAGCAUCCCACCUGGGGAGUACGCCGGCAACGGUGAAACUCAAAGGAAUUGACGGGG